Molecule: non-coding RNA, 507 nt
Organism: Saimiri boliviensis boliviensis (Bolivian squirrel monkey)
Lineage: Eukaryota; Metazoa; Chordata; Mammalia; Primates; Cebidae
Source: RefSeq, a predicted model, not a curated record
UUCUCAGCUAGCCUUUAGAUUUGUCUGCUAACAGUAAAAAUACUAUAAUAAAUUGGUAACAUAUGUUGCCAGGCAAGGAAAAGUGAUAUAAAUAAAGAGACUGGGAGACCCAAACCAAGUACAAUGUGAAAAGAAAAGAAUUUAACUUUCAAUCUAUUUGCUGGCUAAUUACCAUUUGAAAAGUCAUUUGAAAGUGUUACUGUUAUUUGCUGAUAUUCUUCCUCAUUUUUCUUUUUUUCCUCUUCAGAUUGCAUUCUUACCCAAAUACUCUUCGUGAUGGCCUGCUUUGCGGCUUUGGGGAGAGGAAAUUGGACUCGAACAGGUGGAGUAAACUGACCCCUCAUCAGUAACAAGCAAGAGAGGACACCAGGUUUUGAACCCAGAAUAACUCAGAUGUUGAAUGUAGUGUCUUGUGGAAGCCUGACAUCAUUAAGGACUGGAAGAGAAAAAUCUGAGUAAGACAGUGUAAUCAAGAUGCUUGCUCUUUGAUGUGCUGCUGGAAGGGUC